GGGCUUUCCUAUGUUAUAAAGUACUUAAGAAAAAUAUGAAAUCUGUUGUUUGACACUUUUGCUUGUAUAGAGUAUUUUCUAUCAUUUAUGUCUAGUAUAAUUGUGAUUUUUGUGUAGGCCAUGUUACUUGUCCAAAUGUAGUGAAAUUUUUAUGCUAGACUAUGUUGGUGAUCUCUGAGCUACUGUAAUUUUGAUAGAGUUUAUUGAAUACAAGAAGUGUAUUUUGCUGUUAUAGGCCUAGUGAUAAUUAAAUAAAUAAAAUAUUGUUUUAUGUAAACUUAGAAGUAAUCUAUGUACAUGGUGUAUCUUUGAAACAUUCCAAAGCAUGCUGG
RNAcentral lists this long non-coding RNA (332 nucleotides) under Sorghum bicolor (sorghum). RNAcentral's name for it is "long non-coding RNA (SBIC_LNC010086)". The record is from RNAcentral. Lineage: Eukaryota; Viridiplantae; Streptophyta; Magnoliopsida; Poales; Poaceae.